CGGAGUGUAGCGCAGCUGGUAGCGCACCUCGUUCGGGACGAGGGGGUCGCAGGUUCAAAUCCUGCCACUCCGACCA
Molecule: transfer RNA, 76 nt
Filed under: Methyloceanibacter stevinii
Lineage: Bacteria; Pseudomonadati; Pseudomonadota; Alphaproteobacteria; Hyphomicrobiales; Hyphomicrobiaceae
Description: tRNA-Pro
Rfam family: tRNA
About the family: Transfer RNA (tRNA) molecules are approximately 80 nucleotides in length. Their secondary structure includes four short double-helical elements and three loops (D, anti-codon, and T loops).
Source: RNAcentral